This 1343-nucleotide ribosomal RNA is filed under the name uncultured bacterium. RNAcentral's name for it is "16S ribosomal RNA". It matches the Rfam family "Bacterial small subunit ribosomal RNA", at positions 28 to 1378 of the family's 1533-position model. The record is from RNAcentral.
GACGAACGCUGGCGGCGUGCUUAACACAUGCAAGUCGAACGGAAAGGCCCUGCUUUUGUGGGGUGCUCGAGUGGCGAACGGGUGAGUAACACGUGAGUAACCUGCCCUUGACUUUGGGAUAACUUCAGGAAACUGGGGCUAAUACCGGAUAGGAGCUCCUGCUGCAUGGUGGGGGUUGGAAAGUUUCGGCGGUUGGGGAUGGACUCGCGGCUUAUCAGCUUGUUGGUGGGGUAGUGGCUUACCAAGGCUUUGACGGGUAGCCGGCCUGAGAGGGUGACCGGCCACAUUGGGACUGAGAUACGGCCCAGACUCCUACGGGAGGCAGCAGUGGGGAAUAUUGCACAAUGGGCGGAAGCCUGAUGCAGCAACGCCGCGUGCGGGAUGACGGCCUUCGGGUUGUAAACCGCUUUCGCCUGUGACGAAGCGUGAGUGACGGUAAUGGGUAAAGAAGCACCGGCUAACUACGUGCCAGCAGCCGCGGUGAUACGUAGGGUGCGAGCGUUGUCCGGAUUUAUUGGGCGUAAAGGGCUCGUAGGUGGUUGAUCGCGUCGGAAGUGUAAUCUUGGGGCUUAACCCUGAGCGUGCUUUCGAUACGGGUUGACUUGAGGAAGGUAGGGGAGAAUGGAGUUCCUGGUGGGGCGGUGGAAUGCGCAGAUAUCAGGAGGAACACCAGUGGCGAAGGCGGUUCUCUGGGCCUUUCCUGACGCUGAGGAGCGAAAGCGUGGGGAGCGAACAGGCUUAGAUACCCUGGUAGUCCACGCUGUAAACGGUGGGUACUAGGUGUGGGGUCCAUUCCACGGGUUCCGUGCCGUAGCUAACGCUUUAAGUACCCCGCCUGGGGAGUACGGCCGCAAGGCUAAAACUCAAAGGAAUUGACGGGGCCCCGCACAAGCGGCGGAGCAUGCGGAUUAAUUCGAUGCAACGCGUAGAACCUUACCUGGGUUUGACAUGGAUCGGGAGUGCUCAGAGAUGGGUGUGCCUCUUUUGGGGUCGGUUCACAGGUGGUGCAUGGCUGUCGUCAGCUCGUGUCGUGAGAUGUUGGGUUAAGUCCCGCAACGAGCGCAACCCUUGUUCACUGUUGCCAGCACGUUAUGGUGGGGACUCAGUGGAGACCGCCGGGGUCAACUCGGAGGAAGGUGGGGAUGACGUCAAGUCAUCAUGCCCCUUAUGUCCAGGGCUUCACGCAUGCUACAAUGGCUGGUACAGAGAGUGGCGAGCCUGUGAGGGUGAGCGAAUCUCGGAAAGCCGGUCUCAGUUCGGAUUGGGGUCUGCAACUCGACCUCAUGAAGUCGGAGUCGCUAGUAAUCGCAGAUCAGCAACGCUGCGGUGAAUACGUUCCCGGG